GCGGGUGUGGUGGAAUUGGUAGACACGCUAGACUUAGGAUCUAGUGCCGAAAGGUGUGAGAGUUCGAGUCUCUCCGCCCGCA
Molecule: transfer RNA, 82 nt
Filed under: Flagellimonas pacifica
Lineage: Bacteria; Pseudomonadati; Bacteroidota; Flavobacteriia; Flavobacteriales; Flavobacteriaceae
Description: tRNA_Leu_TAG
Rfam family: tRNA
About the family: Transfer RNA (tRNA) molecules are approximately 80 nucleotides in length.
Source: RNAcentral